GCUGGGCAUGGUGGUGCAUGCCUGUAAUCCCAACUACUCAGGAGGCUGAGGCACAAGAAUUGCUUGAACCCAGGAGGUGGAGGUUGCAGUGAGCCAAGAUCGUGCCACUGCAUUCCAGCCUGGGUGACAAAGUGAGACUAUGUCUCCA
Unclassified non-coding RNA from Macaca fascicularis (crab-eating macaque), 148 nucleotides. It matches the Rfam family "Metazoan signal recognition particle RNA". From Rfam's summary of the family: The signal recognition particle (SRP) is a universally conserved ribonucleoprotein. It is involved in the co-translational targeting of proteins to membranes. Lineage: Eukaryota; Metazoa; Chordata; Mammalia; Primates; Cercopithecidae. The record is from Ensembl.